CCUACGGGCGACAGCAGUGGGGAAUAUUGGGCAAUGGAGGAAACUCUGACCCAGCAAUGCCGCGUGAAUGAAGAAGGUCUUCGGAUUGUAAAGUUCUUUAGUCAGGGAAGAAGUCAAUGACGGUACCUGAAGAAUAAGCUUCGGCUACAUACGUGCCAGCAGCCGCGGGAAUACGUAGGGAGCAAGCGUUGUUCGGAAUGACUGGGUGUAAAGGGUGCGUAGGCGGUUGUACAAGUUAGAAGUGAAAUACCCAGGGCUUAACUCGGGUGCUGCUUCUAAAACUGUAUGACUUGAGUACAGUAGAGGUUAGUGGAAUUCCUGGUGUAGCGGUGGAAUGCGUAGAUAUUAGGAGGAACACCAGAGGCGAAGGCGGCUAACUGGACUGCAACUGACGCUGAGGCACGAAAGUGUGGGGAGCAAACAGGAUUAGAUACCCUUGUAGUC
RNAcentral lists this ribosomal RNA (444 nucleotides) under uncultured bacterium. RNAcentral's name for it is "partial 16S ribosomal RNA". It matches the Rfam family "Bacterial small subunit ribosomal RNA", at positions 338 to 795 of the family's 1533-position model. The record is from RNAcentral.